RNAcentral lists this transfer RNA (76 nucleotides) under Streptomyces sp. ISL-100. RNAcentral's name for it is "tRNA-Leu". It matches the Rfam family "tRNA". Rfam says of the family: Transfer RNA (tRNA) molecules are approximately 80 nucleotides in length. Their secondary structure includes four short double-helical elements and three loops (D, anti-codon, and T loops). The record is from RNAcentral. RNAcentral also lists the same sequence under 1 other name. Lineage: Bacteria; Bacillati; Actinomycetota; Actinomycetes; Kitasatosporales; Streptomycetaceae.
GCCCGCCUAGCCCAACUGGCUAAGAGGCGCUGCCCUUAGACGGCAGAGGUUCCCGGUUCGAGUCCGGGGGCGGGCA